This 220-nucleotide ribosomal RNA is filed under the name uncultured bacterium. RNAcentral describes it as "partial 16S ribosomal RNA". It matches the Rfam family "Bacterial small subunit ribosomal RNA", at positions 100 to 334 of the family's 1533-position model. The record is from RNAcentral.
CGGUACGGGUGAGUAACACGUGGAUCAUCUACCUUCUAGUGGGGAAUACCUCUGGAACCGGAGAUAAUUCCGCAUAAGCUCGUGAGAGGAAAGCCGAAAGGCGCUGGAAGAGGAGUCCGCGGCUGAUUAGCUAGAUGGCGGGGUAAUGGCCCACCAAGGCGACGAUCGGUAGCUGGUCUGAGAGGAUGAUCAGCCAGACUGGGACUGAGACACGGCCCAG